UUAUAUGACAUUUUUUGUUUGGUUAUGCUUAUAGAAUAUAUCUACGAAAUACAUCUAUAAGGCACGUAAAGUGUGAUAGCUGGAUAUUAUCGAAAAUAUCAGUAACACAAAAACGUGUUGUUAAGACAACUUGAAAUAUUGUAGGGAGCACAAUUUUUCGUAUAAUUAAGUUCAAAAUUUCGUAUAAUCAAGGUCGUCACCUUUCUUUUAUAUAGAACUAUAUAUAUUUUGAUAUACGUCGGUGUAGUCCACAUUAAAAUCAAUUCAACGAUUAUAAUCAUUCGAGGACAAAAUUACUUUUAUAGAAAUGUUUGGAAUUUUGAACUGUAAUAAUCAUUCGUGAAUUGGUGUUUUGCUUAUAAUCUUUUGUUAAAACUAUAUUUAAUAUAAGAUAUUAAAUUUUAUAUGAUCAUUUUUUUGUAUAUGACUCGGUGAUAUCUACAUAGUAGAGGAUGUAUAGCUCGCGAUAUUAUAAUGUAUGAAAAUCUCCCACUCUUAAUUAAAGUCUAUAAAAUACACAUGAUAAGAAAACGAAGUUCGCAAACAGGAUACAAAACAAAACGAGGAAAAGGUUACCAGUAAAACUGACAAAAAUAGGUAAUUUACGUAAGAUCGCGAGUUUGUUGCUACAAAUUAAUGAUGAUUAAUUGAUUACCACUUUCUCGUUCUCUCUUUCUCCUAUUAAUUAAUAGGUUACCAAAAUUAGUAAACAAGUUACACGAUUCCAGAAUACGCAACAUGCUCAGGGCCGACCAUUUCGUAAUUACGAGUCAGACAUAUAGAAAACAUUCGAUAAUUGCACAACUGCACAAGAAGAUCCUCUGCAUAAUAGCACAUUCAUGUCAUUCCUACUAUAGGAACAGGUUACCCAAUGCACCUCGAAAGUCGACGGCUUAUCGCGAUUAGGUAAUGUAACAUGGUUCAAUGUUAAAUAUCGCUGAGACAAUAUAUGCAAAUACCAAUUCAAAAGUACAACUUUUUUAUUGUUGACUUUUUUAAAAUUAAACUUUUACUAACAUAUCUGUAUGAUUUGUCUGAUUAAAAUGAGAUCAAACACGAUAUAAUUUAAAUUAUAUGUACUUACUGAUAUUGUUACGCCACGAGGCUUAGUAUAAAUCGUAUUUCUAACCGUCGCUCGCGGUCCUACAGCGUCGUCUAAUCUGCUCGACGAAAAAUAUACAAUGUAUCGGCGACCUCAUAGUUGUCACCAAGCAGCGAGUUCCAGAGUUCGAUUUCUGUCUCUGUCUCUGUCUCUGUCUCUCCGAGAAGACAGAGAAUUGAUCUAAGGACAAUCAGUCUCAUUUGAAUAUUCAAACGACAUACAUCGACAGGUCUGACGAUUGAAAUCAAAAUCGCUUAGUCUAACGAAUUCAUUGAGAGAUAUCGUAAAGUCGGGUCGAAUUUCUGUAACGCAUUAACUGCAUUCAUCGCUAAAUAAUUUGUGACGCUUUCAUUAUUAUACAAUUUAUUGUUAAAUAUACAAACUAUAUCAACCUGUUAAUACAGUGUUAAAUUCAUUGAACCACCUCUAUUAUCUUAACCGAACGACUAAUUCGCGGCGUCGAUUAUACGAAUCGUAGCGAGAAUUUACGUCUCUCGCUGACACGUUUUCCUCGCGACUGCGUCUCUCCGCGAACGGUCGUAACAGAUAUGUAUUUAAUUAUUAUUUAUUAAGUAGGCAAAUAUGCUCCAAAUCAUAUUGUGUUUGGUGUCAUUUUAAUCAGAAAAAUGUAAGAAACGUAUUGGUUAAAGUUUCAUCGAUCACAAAUCAAAAAUAAGAAAGUUUAAUUUUUCCUGAAUGCUUUGACUCUCGGUCCCUCUUUCUCUUUGACUCGCGUAGUCCUUUUCUGUGUUCAACCCGUCUAAGAUUUCAGUUUCGAGGAAUAGGAGCAUUUUUAACUUUUUGAAUCCCGAUUUUUGUGCAAUUAUUGAAUGUUUUAUAACUAUUCAGCUUGACUUUGUUUUCGAACGUGACAAGAAAGAACACAAAGAAUGAGAAGAAUGAAUACGAGAGGCUGGCUGUCGAGCAGCAUGUAACACAUCAGAAUUUCUAAUACCAGAGUGUGAUAGCAACUAUACAUAUUCUAUUCGUCUUUUACUGAAUGAUGGCACUGUUUAUUCGACCAGAAAUAUUUAUGGUUAGCCGCUUUCACGGAUCUCUUACUCGUUCUCAAAUUUCUCAUUCUGUAGGUAAGUUUAAAUAAAGAAGAGGGAAUAUGUAGUAAGUUGCUUAUUUCGAACCAGAAAUCAGUUGCUUAUUCAUCGAAACUAACACUGUACUAUGCGGUUGAAUUUCAUGUGUUUGCAAUAAGACAUCUCCAAUAUUCAAAUUGUAUUCGUUGGAAAAAAAGAAAGAUAUGGAUUUCAUAUUCGAAGAUACAACAGUUUUUACUACGAAUAUUAAUUGACUAUGAAUUUAUAAUUAUGUUUGAAAGAGAAUUUACCAGAAGAAAUGCUGCGGCGAGGAGUAAGGUUUUGAGUUUUAUGUCCAAAUUUGAAGGAAAUGUAAUUAACAUAAUAUAAUCGUGAAGAAUAUUGUCCCACUGAUGCAUAAGGGAUGCAAUUUGAUGAGUGCCAUCGAUCGAGAUUACCUGAAUGAAAUUAAUAUACUAUAAUUAAAUGAUUUGUAAAUAAAGUAUAAGGUAGCUUAAUAAUAUCAACCACUUUGAAUAUUUUUAUUACUUCUGGAAAUAUGGAGAGACCUUAUUUACCAAAGUCUAUAACAUAUCACUGUAUGUAUAGUCAUUUUGUUUUUUUAUGAAAAUUUUUAAAUUAUAAAUAACGUCAUAAAUAAAUCUUCAAAUCAGGGCACAUGGAGCGUCGUGAGAUCGGCAUCUUUGACGAGUCGGUGAACUAUUCGAGAAGCGCGAGCAG
This is a long non-coding RNA of Bombus pascuorum, 2874 nucleotides long. RefSeq lists it as uncharacterized. NCBI's taxonomy places the organism in Eukaryota, Metazoa, Arthropoda, Insecta, Hymenoptera, Apidae. The record is from RefSeq and is a predicted model, not a curated record. The transcript is spliced from 3 exons.